RNAcentral lists this long non-coding RNA (5421 nucleotides) under Gossypium raimondii (Peruvian cotton). Its description in RNAcentral is "long non-coding RNA (GRAI_LNC005694)". Lineage: Eukaryota; Viridiplantae; Streptophyta; Magnoliopsida; Malvales; Malvaceae. The record is from RNAcentral.
UCCUCAUCAACCAUGCAUACUGACAAAACUGCAGCAAUCAUCGCCGUAAGCCACCUGUCUUUCUAAAACAAGCUAGAGUUCAUUCGCAUAAUUUUAUUCGGGGUAACAAGCCAUUUGCUUAUUUAUUGCUUCUAGUCUUCUUAAUUUCCAGAAAAUUUGCAGUACAUAAUUAUUAACAUUAAUAUAAGUCGGUAAUUAGCUCCAUUAAAAUGGUAGGCAGCAUGCGACGGGGGGGGGGGGGGGGUUGGAAAAGGAGAAGGGUAGGUUGAGGCAGGGAAGCAUGCAGGGUGGUCUAAGGGUUUGGUUGUUGAAGUCCGUAAAUCUAACCCUCAUGCGCCUUCACGAGAAAAUCAUUACACCUUUCACCUCCAAUUUUCCUGGGGUUUUCUUCUUUUUCUAUUUAUUACCUGUUGCAACUCAAACAUAAUCUUUGGCUGCUUUCUGAUUUUUGUGUAUUACCAUCUUUCCAUGCAUUUCCCCUCCCACUAGGAAAAUAGUUGUAACUUGGUAUUGAUAGAAGAGGUCCGAUGCUUAUCAGUACAGCUCCGACGAUCGGCGGAAACAGCAUUGAUAGAAAGCUUCAUUUCUCCAGGUUAGUUUGAUAGGCAAUCUCACACACCCAUAUACAGUUCCUUGUAUGCUUUUUUCCUUUGAAAAGAAAUGUUAUGGUGAUAGUGAAAAGCUCACAACUUUCUAACUUUUAUCCUAUAUAAUUCUUUUCCAUUUAGAUUAUUUAUUUUGCUACUGUGAAUAGUUCUUAUUAUAAUAUAAAAAAAAUUCUAAAGGAAGGUCAGUCCCUAUACAAUCACAAUGCCAAUAAUUUUCAUAUAUAUGUGCAUUUAUUUAUCUAAUGGUAUAUGAUUAUUCUAACAACAUAUUUUUUAGGAAAAUGUUAAUAAGUUUGUAGUGAUAUUUAAAGAAAUAAAGUACCAUUGUGAUAUUGUACCGCCAUUAGUACUUUUUUUUAUUGCAUUCAGUACUAAAAGUAAUUAAAUGCAAAAAAGAGAGAGAGUAAAAUAAUAAUAUUUUCAUUUGUCAAAAAAUCUCUUGAGAACGCACCAAUAAUAAGAUGGGUGUAUGUUUGAUACCUAAGUAGAUUUGUUGAGAAAAACCUUUUGUGGAAGAAGCUUGGAGCUCUAUUUCCCUGCUGGAGCGGGCGGCUACCAGGUUGGCCAUCGCCCACACUUCCUUUCAGUUUUUCCGACCCCUUUCACUAUUGAAAAAUAUUAUGGAUUUUUGCAUAAACUAUGUACGAAAUCUUAAAAGUUCCGAAAAACGUGUCUUAGGGCUAUCACAUUAAAACCCAAGCCCAAAUAGGUCCACAAGGAAGUAACCAAGUAUCGGAUGAAUUGACGUCCACAAAAAUGGUAGGGCAUUGGGCAUGCAUGCAUGCCGCCCACCUACUUCUCAAAAUUCACCUGCCAGUCUUGCCUUCUUCACCCACCUAACCUACUACGCUUGGGGUCGUACCUUUAGUGUCUGUUCUUACUAUUGCUUUGGUAGCUGCUUCAAUUUUAAACUUGUCAUUUAUUUUUUCUAAAUAAAAUUACAUAUACAUUUCAAGAUUAUGAUUACGAAUCGAUUUCUAAAAUUUUAAAAUAUCAAGUUUAUCAAUAUUUAUAUUUAAUUUAAUUUUAUAUUAAAAAUUGUUAAUUAUAUAUUAAUUUAUUAAUUGAUUCAUUUGUUUGAUUUAAUUUACUGUUUUUUAAUAGGAUGUAGCUUGUCCUAGCUAUUAAAAUAUUUUAAGCUAAAGGAAAUUAUCAAUUAAGCCAUUGAAAAAAAAAGUACUCAAUGAGCUCUUAAACAUUAGAUUUUCCAUCAAUUAAGCUUUUCUUAUUAUUAAAGUCAAUGGUACCAUUUUUUUCUAUUUUUGAGUUAUUUUCACCAUGUAUCAUGUAGAUUGUGCUACGUGACAAAAUUGAUAUUUUCUAUUUAAAAUAAGGAAAAAUAUAUAAAAAAUUAAAAAGUUAUAAAAAAUUAAAGAAAAUUGCAGAAAUAUAUUAAAAAUAUGAAAAUAAAAAAAAUUAUAUAAAUUACGAAAACUAAAAAAAUUAUGAAAAAAUAUUUAAAAUCCCUAUAAAAUUAUUAAAAUUUACAAAAUACUAUAAAAAGCAUAGAAACUAUAAAAAAUAAAAAAAUAUAUGAAAAAAUUAUAAAAUCAUUUUUUAUUUCCACACUAACCAUUGUUGACAAUACAAUACCUAUUAAAAAUUACAAAAAAAAAAUUGAUCCCUAAAGCUAUUUAUUGUGUUGAUCCAUCAAAGUAGCAAGGAAGUGUUAUGAGAUGCAAAUUAAGGUUGGGAAAUGGGUUGAUAUGGCAAAUAAAAUGACAACAGAGGCUAUAUAUAUAUAUAUAUAUAUAUAUAUAUAUAUAUAUAUAUAUCUUUAAAUUUAUCUAAUUCUUUUAAUUUUCUACUUUUUAAUAUUGUCAAUAACUUUUUAAUAUUUUUUUUACUUUUUUAUAAUAUUUUUUGUAAAUUUCAAUUAUAAUUUUUAUAUAAUUUUGUAUAAAUUUUUUAAUGAUUUUAAAUUGAAAAUAUCAAUUUUUUCCUUGGGGAAUUUAACGUAUUUUUUAUGUGGCGGAAACAUAAUAAUAAUAAUAAUAAUAAUUAUGUAUUAAUUUGUUUGUUGAUGAAACAUGACACAAACAUGUUUUACUUUAUGUUUCGAGUCUUAAUUAUGUAGUGGUAAUUAGCCACAAGUUGCCUCUCUGUUUUUUUUAUGAUUGGUUUGUCAGCAUACUUUAAGUAAAGGUGUUAAAAGAAUAGCCUCUCUUCUCUUGCUUCCACGCAACUAAAUUGCAACUAUUUCCUCUAAUCUUUUUUUUUAAUUUAUUAAAAAUGCUAUAACAUAUAUUAAAUAAUUAAACAAAUAAAUGAAAGGCUGAGUAAAAAUCAAAUGGUUAAAUACAAGUACAAGGGCUCGAUUGAACACAGCCUAUUCAUUUAAAGACUUUUUUAGAAUAUUAAAUAUUAAUAAUUUUGAGUAAAGCUGCUGUUCAUGUAUAGAGUUAUGGGUCAGCUUGGAUAAACAAAAUCAUGUGCUCACGAUCCAAUCGGUUGAGAUGGGGUAUUCAAAAAUAUUAAAAAUGAUUUCCAUAAAUAUGUAUCUAAGGCUUAAUGAUUAAAAAUUGUAGUUGUUAAGCUCUUAAAAGAAAAUUAUUUUAUUAAAUUUUCAGUGUCAAAAAAUCAAUUAUAUCUUUCUAAUGUGACUAAUCAAAAUUUGCACAUAUUUAAUUUUUUUUUAAGAAAAUACACGUUAAAAAUAAAUUUAAAUAAAAGAAUGUCCAAAUUUAUAUAAAAAUCUAGGACAUUCAUUUCAUUCUAUACAUAAUUCAAAAUAUUCUAAAAUGAACAUUAUUUCAUCAUUUUUUUUUGCUUUGUUACAGAGUAUUUGAAACAUGUUAAAAAUGAAAAUUAUUUGAUCAUUAAAUGUUUCAAAACAAAACAAAAAGAGAUGUUGAUGUUGAUUUUCAUAAGAAUUAUUUUUCAGUAACCGAAAGCUUAACAAGUUCAAUUGGUGGGCCUUUUAGGCUUAAUUUUUGGGAUAAAGAGUGGCAGAGAUGAGAAGAUACAUUUUCCUUUCCUCAAAGUAGAUGGAAAGUCAAAUUUGAAUCAACAUAUUUGCCCUAAAUGAAGCAUGAUAUUUUUUUAUCCUAUCAUACAUGUAAUCGAUUGUUUUUACACUUUUUUUUAUAUUUUUUUGAACUUACUUUUAUAAUUUUUAUAAUAUUCUUAACCAUACUCAAAAUAAAUCCAAUAAAUGAAUUUAAACGUUUAUUUGUCUAGGUUUAUUUUGGAUGUGCAUUUUUAAUAAUUCUUUUAAAAAUAUAUGCCCACAUAUCAUGUCAUGUGUAACUUCCAUCAACUAAAUUAGCAUUUAUUAACAAUCAAAUCGAUCAAUGGCAGUUUUCUAAUUAAAAUUUUUUAUCCCUUAAACUAUACAGUGUAUAUGUCUGUGACUCAUUGCAAGAUGGCGGUAGCUAAUACCUAUAUAACGUUUUGAGUUUUCUCAACUCCAAACAGCUCUUUGAUAUUUGCUUGCAAAAUUUUGGGAAUCAACCAUGCAACUGGUUAGCGAAUGUCACCUUAUUAGUCUCCCCCAUCGUAUUCUAUAUGGAUAUCUAAGCAGCUAAAUGACUACAAGAAAGAAAGAUUUUCAACGUCACUUUCUUAGUGAAAUGUCGCUAAGAGGGGAGAACUCGUCUUUUAGAAUACAUGUCGAUUCUUCUUUCGAUCUUAAAGACUUAAGUAACGUUGAACCAAAUUUUAAAAACCAUGAAUGAUUUUGUGAAUUACAAAUUUUAAAAUUUUCUUUCUUAGAAAAAAAUAUUAAAAUUAAAAUAACUAAUAACUUAAACAUUCAGAAAAACAUGAUUUCUCUCUCAAGUAUGGAAUUAAUGCUAAUUUCGAUAACACAUAUAAAGAAAUUAUUUACAUGCAAAAUAACAUUAAAAAGAAAAAAAACUCAUUUCAUCUAAUAACUUAGUCUAUGCAUGAUGUAAUAAUGUUAACAUUGUGCAAUUUUGUAUGGAGCAUGCAUGAGUUCAAUUUAUUGUCUCCACUAGCAUAUGGUUGGGAAAAUCUAAUACGUAGUUAUAUAUAUAUAUAUAUAUAUAUAUUUGAUAAAUCUUGAAUGAGCAAAUCAAUGUAAUAUAAUAUGUCCAACUUAAAGACUUAAAUCGAUUCGUAAUAUAUUUGGAGUCUGAAUCUCAUUUACAAUAACAAUUAUAUAUUCUUAUUCCCAAGAUAUAACCCCUUCUAUAUAUUAAAAGAAACCAAACACGUAGUAUAGAUGGUGAACUCCUCAAAAUAGAGUCUGUCACACAAUCUAGACAUUCUAUUUCUUUGUAUUAGUUGGAACUUAUACGCACACAUGCACAUACGUAUACAUAUUACAUAUAUUCACAGAGGGGUGGAAGAAAUAGCAGUGGAAUAUUGAGCCAACUCAUAGGAAGUAAUACUCAACCUUUUGCUUCAAUAAUUUCAUUAAUUUCUGUAGGAAAUUACAGAUUUAGGGAUUGAUACAUUUUAAUAGACACUACGAAUAAGACUACAAACUUUCAUUGUAGGUGCAAGCAUACAAAUAAAAUGAGUACAUAACAUUAACACAACCGAGCAAUGAAAGAAAGAAAAAGGAAAAAUAAAUACAAGCAAACGUAGAAAAUCUAAAAACAUCUAAUUUCAAUAUGCAUAUAAAUUUGCAGUUUGAUCUGCUAAAGUUGAUGCAGAUAAUGAUAAUGAUUGUUGAAAGAGUUUGGCUCAUUCCCAAAACCAACCAUUGCAGAUAUGAGUUCGGUUUCCCACAUGUCGCCAUGACUCAAGUUCUGAGAAGAUUCUGCGGCUGCUGCUGCCGGUGCCACCAAAUUAUUAGGUUGCUGCUCUACUGGGUGUUGAUUAACAAGCAAGUUUUCAUUAAUCA